GAUGAACGCUGGCGGUGUGCCUAAUACAUGCAAGUCGAGCGAACAGACGAGGAGCUUACUCCUCUGACGUUAGCGGCGGACGGGUGAGUAACACGUGGAUAACCUACCUAUAAGACUGGGAUAACUUCGGGAAACCGGAGCUAAUACCGGAUAACAUGUUGAACCGCAUGGUUCAACAGUGAAAGACGGUCUUGCUGUCACUUAUAGAUGGAUCCGCGUCGCAUUAGCUAGUUGGUAAGGUAACGGCUUACCAAGGCAACGAUGCGUAGCCGACCUGAGAGGGUGAUCGGCCACACUGGAACUGAGACACGGUCCAGACUCCUACGGGAGGCAGAAGUAGGGAAUCUUCCGCAAUGGGCGAAAGCCUGACGGAGCAACGCCGCGUGAGUGAAGAAGGUCUUCGGAUCGUAAAACUCUGUUAUUAGGGAAGAACAAAUGUGUAAGUAACUAUGCACGUCUUGACGGUACCUAAUCAGAAAGCCACGGCUAACUACGUG
This 497-nucleotide ribosomal RNA is filed under the name uncultured bacterium. RNAcentral's name for it is "partial 16S ribosomal RNA". It matches the Rfam family "Bacterial small subunit ribosomal RNA", at positions 28 to 507 of the family's 1533-position model. The record is from RNAcentral.